This 63-nucleotide microRNA precursor is filed under the name Marmota monax (woodchuck). Lineage: Eukaryota; Metazoa; Chordata; Mammalia; Rodentia; Sciuridae. The record is from RNAcentral.
UCCUAUGGGUGAGCGAAAAAGGUUUUUUUGAGAUGGAAUUUACUCCUGGAAAGACACUGUGAA